This 478-nucleotide ribosomal RNA is filed under the name uncultured bacterium. RNAcentral's name for it is "partial 16S ribosomal RNA". It matches the Rfam family "Bacterial small subunit ribosomal RNA", at positions 28 to 507 of the family's 1533-position model. The record is from RNAcentral.
GAUUAACGCUGGCGGCGUGCAUAACACAUGCAAGUCGAACGAUGAAACUCAUUAGAUUUCUUCGGAAUGAAAAUGAAUGGAUUAGUGGCGAACGGGUGAGUAACGCGUGAGUAACCUGCCUUACACAAGGGGAUAGCCUCUGGAAACGGAGAAUAAUACCCUAUGAAACCAGACAAUCGCAUGAUAAUCUGGUCAAAAUGUUUAGUGGUGUAAGAUGGACUUGCGUCUGAUUAGCUAGUUGGUGAGAUAAAAGCUCACCAAGGCAGCGAUCAGUAGCCGGCUUGAGAGAGUGUACGGCCACAUUGGGACUGAGACACGGCCCAGACUCCUACGGGAGGCAGCAGUGGGGAAUUUUGCACAAUGGGGGAAACCCUGAUGCAGCGACGCCGCGUGAUUUAGAAGGCCUUCGGGUUGUAAAAAUCUUUUGUAUAGGAAGAAAAUGACAGUACUAUACGAAUAAGGGCCGGCUAAUUACGUG